GCCUGGCUGGCUCAGUUGGAAGGGCAUGUGACUCUUGAUCUUGGGGUUGUGAGUUCAAGCCCCACGUUGGGUG
This is a non-coding RNA of Felis catus (domestic cat), 73 nucleotides long. The record is from Rfam. NCBI's taxonomy places the organism in Eukaryota, Metazoa, Chordata, Mammalia, Carnivora, Felidae.